RNAcentral lists this long non-coding RNA (990 nucleotides) under Pan troglodytes (chimpanzee). Its description in RNAcentral is "lincRNA". The record is from RNAcentral. Lineage: Eukaryota; Metazoa; Chordata; Mammalia; Primates; Hominidae.
CUGUGCUGAGUUUUUCGAAGGUCAGAGCAGAUUGAACCUUUGUGCUUUCAUUUUUCCUGAUUUUGAUUUUUCUUAUGGGGAUCCACUUUUCCUGCAUUCGAGGUGACUCGAAGAAGCCUUCUAAAAAGCGUGUGAAAAGGAAGCCCUACUCUACUACCAUGUUACAGGUGAUUUCAUUGAGCCCAAUCAAUGAAAUUUUGAGAAGAUACAGCCUGUACACCAACCAGCAUCAGAGGCAUCAUGGCUUCUGGAGAAAGAAGAAGAUACAGCCACAAGAAGCCUCUGAGGAGCCUCCAGCUCGCAAGGACAGAGGAGGUGGAGAGAGGCCAGUCAACGCGAGGGUGGUGCGGGUGGCCCCUCUGAGGCUUGGUUUUGCUCCUUGUGGGUACGCUGUACAAGACAUCUCUAAAGAAGACACUGUAUAUGACAUCUGUAAUGAGGAUGCUGUAGACAUCUCUGAUGAGGACACUGUAGAUAUCUCUAAUGAGGCUUCUGUACAUGACAUCUCUAAUGAGGCUGCUGUAUGUGACAUCUCUAAUGAUGCUGUAAACAUCUCUAAUGAGGCUGCUGUACGUGACAUCUCUAAUGACGCUGUAGACAUCUGUAAUGAGGCUGCUGUACAUGACAUCUCUAAUGAGGACACUAUAGAAGACAUUUCUUAUGAGGACACUGUAUACGACAUCACUAAUGAGGAUGCUGUACGAUACAUCUGUAAAAAAGAAGAUGCUACCAAGGAGCCAUUGACACUGGAGAAUGAUUUGAUUGUGGAGAGCAUGUCUGAUGACGAGGAUUUUGCAGCUUAAAGGGAUCUCCCGGGGUGAGUGAGGAGGCGGGAUCGGACCCUGGCAGUCUGACGGCAGCACCUGUGUUCCUCUGCACUGGGCCGUGGAUGACAUUACACACCUUGGUGAGAAUCAGGAAUUGAGGCUAACCACAUCUGAAAUUGAGCUCGCUCACUGGACAGGAUAGACUGGGCGCCCAGGCCUCAAG